GUUGGUGUAAAUAACGUUGAGGUCCCACCUGUUCCCAUUCCGAACACAGAAGUUAAGCUCAACAGUGCCGAAAAUACUUGGCGGGAAGCUGCCCGGAAAAAUAGGUCUAUGCCAACU
Molecule: ribosomal RNA, 117 nt
Filed under: Anaerotruncus sp.
Lineage: Bacteria; Bacillati; Bacillota; Clostridia; Eubacteriales; Oscillospiraceae
Source: RNAcentral